UACGGGGGGAGCAAGCGUUGUUCGGAUUUACUGGGCGUAAAGGGCGGGUAGGCGGCCACCGCAAGUCAGUUGUGAAAUCUCCGGGCUUAACCCGGAAAGGUCAACUGAUACUGCGGGGCUAGAGUGCAGAAGGGGCAACUGGAAUUCUCGGUGUAGCGGUGAAAUGCGUAGAUAUCGAGAGGAACACCUGCGGCGAAGGCGGGUUGCUGGGCUGACACUAGCGCUGAACUGCGAAAGCUAGGGGAGCGAACGGG
This 254-nucleotide ribosomal RNA is filed under the name uncultured bacterium. RNAcentral describes it as "partial 16S ribosomal RNA". It matches the Rfam family "Bacterial small subunit ribosomal RNA", at positions 524 to 776 of the family's 1533-position model. The record is from RNAcentral.